This 500-nucleotide ribosomal RNA is filed under the name uncultured bacterium. Its description in RNAcentral is "partial 16S ribosomal RNA". It matches the Rfam family "Bacterial small subunit ribosomal RNA", at positions 28 to 507 of the family's 1533-position model. The record is from RNAcentral.
GACGAACGCUGGCGGCGUGCUUAACACAUGCAAGUCGAACGGGUCUGCCCUGUUUUUUGCGGGGUGGGUCAGUGGCGAACGGGUGAGUAACACGUGAGUAACCUGCCCCUCACUUCUGGAUAACCGCUUGAAAGGGUGGCUAAUACGGGGUGUUCUGGCUGUGCCGCACGGUGUGGCUGGGAAAGAUUCACUUUUGUGGUGUUUUGGUGGGGGAUGGGCUCGCGGCCUAUCAGCUUGUUGGUGGGGUGAUGGCCUGCCAAGGCUUUGACGGGUAGCCGGCCUGAGAGGGUGGGCGGUCACACUGGGACUGAGAUACGGCCCAGACUCCUGCGGGAGGCAGCAGUGGGGGGUAUUGCACAAUGGGCGGAAGCCUGAUGCAGCGACGUCGCGUGAGGGAUGGAGGCCUUCGGGUUGUGAACCUCUUUCGCCGGUGAAGAAGGUCCUGCUCUUUGUGGUGGGGUUGACGGUAGCCGGGUUAUGAAGCGCCGGCUAACUACGUG